Anguilla anguilla (European eel) is the source of this 1028-nucleotide long non-coding RNA. RefSeq lists it as uncharacterized. NCBI's taxonomy places the organism in Eukaryota, Metazoa, Chordata, Actinopteri, Anguilliformes, Anguillidae. The record is from RefSeq and is a predicted model, not a curated record. The transcript has 2 exons.
GAGGCAGUAAUGCAAUUAAAAAGGAUGCCAACUGCUGUAAAACACCAAAGAAGAAGAAUUUUCACUGUAACACAAGCUAAAGAACAGCAUGAUUCAAGACCUCCUUUAAUCUUGUUCCAUCUGCCUGUGUGAUCCUCGGAGAAGCUUUGUUUGUGAGUAGAUUAAUUCAUCAAUGUUUUUAGGAAUUAUUUCUGCUCAUACUUCAUUGUAUUUCAUAAUAUUUGUUUACAUUAUUUCAUAGUCACUUAUGAAUUAUUUGCAGUUUCACACUACAACUUGACCACAUGAAAGUGCUGUAUCUUCAUUAAACGGACGUACAAGUGCACGUUGAUAACUUACUUUAUGCUCCAUCAUUGAAGCUACCUAGGGCUACUUCAGUCAAGUCAGAGCUCCGCCGAGCUCCGCCGGCGGAGCUCGACAAGAUGAAAUUAACUUUCGUUUCUAUUUGGAUUAACUUCACGUCCUGUUAUCAUACAGACGCAACAAAAAUAUUGACAGAAACCUUAGAAUCGCAACUUUCCAAUGCGCACAUUCGGCAAAUAAUAUUAAUUGUUUUAAAAGUUUUAAAUUUGAUUAAUUAGACCAUGUAUGCUUCGUUAAACUUUACUCAUUACUACGUGAAUUUCGCUCAGCAGGAAGUCCUCCCAAAUCGCAUUCACAUGUUAACAACAUUAUAAUUACUUUCCAUAGAAGGAGAUUAAAGGAGGCGCGAUGCGAGAUCAUGUGAGAAAUGUUAAGUCUGCGAAAACGGGAUAGAAUGUCAGUGUCGCCAUAUUCACUUCUCUUGAGGUGUACAUUUCGUUUAUUUUUGGAAAAUGGUCCGUCCGGAAGCCGACACGGAUGAAGAGCGGUGUCAUUUCGAACAGCGAACUGAUCCAGCUGAGGAUCAACUUCUUGCAUGCUGAUCAGGAAACACGGCCUAGUUCACCACUAGCUAAGAAGCCACGCAAGUGUUGCAAGAGUACAACCAGUCUCAUCUCAUCUUCCAUGCGUAUAGUUUGCUUCAAUAAAUGUUCUGAAAAUCAAAA